RNAcentral lists this unclassified non-coding RNA (253 nucleotides) under uncultured Acidobacteriota bacterium. RNAcentral's name for it is "uncultured Acidobacteria bacterium contains 16S-23S intergenic spacer region". It matches the Rfam family "Bacterial small subunit ribosomal RNA", at positions 524 to 776 of the family's 1533-position model. Lineage: Bacteria; Pseudomonadati; Acidobacteriota. The record is from RNAcentral.
UACGGAGGGGGCAAGCGUUGUUCGGAUUUACUGGGCGUAAAGGGCUCGUAGGCGGCCAUUUAAGUCGGUUGUGAAAUCCCCCGGCUCAACCGGGGAACUGCGACCGAUACUGGGUGGCUUGAAGCCGGGAGAGGGAUGCGGAAUUCCAGGUGUAGCGGUGAAAUGCGUAGAUAUCUGGAGGAACACCCGUGGCGAAGGCGGCAUCCUGGACCGGUCUUGACGCUGAGGAGCGAAAGCUAGGGUAGCAAACGGG